RNAcentral lists this microRNA (23 nucleotides) under Xenopus laevis (African clawed frog). RNAcentral describes it as "xla-miR-24a-5p". Its record names the gene xla-miR-24a-5p. The record is from miRBase by way of RNAcentral. RNAcentral also lists the same sequence under 2 other names. Lineage: Eukaryota; Metazoa; Chordata; Amphibia; Anura; Pipidae.
GUGCCUACUGAACUGAUAUCAGU